UCAGAUGAGCCUAGGUCGUAUUAGCUAGUUGGUGAGGUAAUGGCUCACCAAGGCGACGAUCCGUAACUGGUCUGAGAGGAUGAUCAGUCACACUGGAACUGAGACACGGUCCAGACUCCUACGGGAGGCAGCAGUGGGGAAUAUUGGACAAUGGGCGAAAGCCUGAUCCAGCCAUGCCGCGUGUGUGAAGAAGGUCUUCGGAUUGUAAAGCUCUUUAAUUGGGAGGAACGGCAGUUUCAUUAUACGUGCUNGUUUUGACGUUACCUACUGAAUAAGCCCCGGCUAACUCUGUGCCAGCAGCCGCGGUAAUACAUAGGGUGCAAGCGUUAUCGGAAUUACUGGGCGUAAAGCGCGCGUAGGUGGUUAGUUAAGUUGAUGUGAAAUCCCCCGGCUCAACCUUGGAAGUGUCAUUCAAAACUGGCUAACUUGAGUACGGUAGAGGAAGGUGGAAUUUCCAUGUGUAGCCGGUGAAAUGCGUCAGAUAAUUAGGAGAGGAAACCACCCAGGUGGGCGAAAGGGCGGACCAUCUGGUCCUGAUACUGACGCCUGAAGUGCGAAAGCCGUGGGAUCAACCAG
This 576-nucleotide ribosomal RNA is filed under the name Pseudomonas sp. CUL-ADN3G3. Its description in RNAcentral is "bacterial SSU rRNA". It matches the Rfam family "Bacterial small subunit ribosomal RNA", at positions 221 to 775 of the family's 1533-position model. The record is from RNAcentral. Lineage: Bacteria; Pseudomonadati; Pseudomonadota; Gammaproteobacteria; Pseudomonadales; Pseudomonadaceae.